UCUAUAAUUAAUACUACUAUAUAAUAUAAAUACAUAUUUAUAAAGUUAUAAUAAAAAUAUUUUACUAUGAAAUAACAAUGGUCUGGUUUACGGUAACAAAAAAAAAAAAAAAAAAGAAAGAAAUAAAAAAAGUGAAUAUACAUUUAUAUAAAACUCCGAUGCAUUAUAGCGAGAAACACGAGCGAAUCGUUGAUCACGAAGUAGUAGUGAAUCGACCUUUAAGCUCGAUUUUCUUUCUCUCUUUCUCUCUCUCUCUCUUUCUCUCUCUUUUUCUACAUAAGUAUUAUUAUUGUAAAAGCGUUCAUGGAUGGGCGUUAAAAAUAAAAUGCGUGAGGCAAGGUUUAAUUACCGAUUUAUUCCCAGCCAUGAUUCCGAUCUAUCGAUCUAUCGAUCGAAUCUUGUUUCUUUGAAACAUAUUUCAUCGUCAUGGUAGACUGAGCUUGGAAAGUUAAACUGGAGAUGCUCUCUUAGAAAAAGGAUACAAAGAAGAAGUAGAAGAAAAAGUAGAAAAGGAAAAAGAAGUAGAAGAAGAAAAAGAAAUAGAAGAAGAAAAAGAAGUAGAAGAAGAAAAAGAAGUAGAAGAAGUUGUGGCGAGAACGGCAAACGAUCAACACGGGGGUCCUCUUAUCGGUGUGCGAUCCUAACGCGUCGUGGAUAUAAUUUCCAUUCCAUGGCAUCUAAAGAGAUAACCGACUGGGUUCCACUCGAGAUUCCGCUAAUGUUGCUUGCGCGAACGCUCAGUGUGAGGUUAGACUUCGUGAUCGACUCGUUCGAUAUACCGAUUUCGAAGCGACCUUUUAUAGUAUUGUUUCGGAACUAGCUAGAAAUGAGAGAAGAGAAACAAUAGCCCGUUAUACACGGGUGUUACAGUUUCUCUAAUCGUUCGAAGGAUCUCUGUUAGAAAAACGUGGAUUAUACUGGCGUGAAAUAAAAGAAGUAGAAGAAAAAGAAAAUGAUGAUGAUGAUGAUGAUGAUGAUGAUAAUGAUGAUGA
Molecule: long non-coding RNA, 992 nt
Organism: Vespa mandarinia (Asian giant hornet)
Lineage: Eukaryota; Metazoa; Arthropoda; Insecta; Hymenoptera; Vespidae
Source: RefSeq, a predicted model, not a curated record